This is a long non-coding RNA of Daphnia carinata, 594 nucleotides long. RefSeq lists it as uncharacterized. Lineage: Eukaryota; Metazoa; Arthropoda; Branchiopoda; Diplostraca; Daphniidae. The record is from RefSeq and is a predicted model, not a curated record. The transcript has 3 exons.
GGCUCGAAGGCACGUGUUUUGUCCCUAUUUUUUUUAGUUUAAAGAAAAUUGAACCUUUUUGCUCUUCAAAGGUUAUUGCUUUACAAAGAAAAAGAUCAGCGGAAAACUAUUUACUUGGCGCUGCAGUUCACACUCUGCUAAAGACCCUUGCAAAGCUACAGUGACCCAUAAAAUUUCCAGUGCCAUAAAUUUCUUUGAUCACUAUGACCAGCAAGACUCCAAAAACAGCCACACAACACCGCCGCAGUAAAUCACAACCAUCUACUAUUCUAUGAAAACCACAGAAGAAUUAAUGCGGAUCAGAAGAAAGAAACCCACACGAAGAACUGGAUCCUAUCUACGCUCUGGUUUCGCUACGAAGCGAAUGAGUUUUCCAGCCAUGAGCUACUUAGAGAAGUGCUUCAUGAGCUCCGAAGUUCCUCCCCCACAGUUGUCCCUGACUAUCUCCUUAAGAUCAACCAUGACAACAUUGAUGAAUAUGAUAUGUCCUUAAAUAAUAGUGUUGUGUAUUAAAAGUACUUACCUUUUUUAUUGUUUACAGUCAAUAUUUUUGUGCCAUAAUAUCAAUUGGAAAAUAAACAAAGUAUAAUUUUA